This 274-nucleotide small nuclear RNA is filed under the name Melipona quadrifasciata. Its description in RNAcentral is "Arthropod 7SK RNA". It matches the Rfam family "Arthropod 7SK RNA". The record is from Rfam by way of RNAcentral. Lineage: Eukaryota; Metazoa; Arthropoda; Insecta; Hymenoptera; Apidae.
GGAAGUGUGUGCUAGUGAUCGCAUAGCUGAACAUUGAUCGCUAACGUAGAAAUAUGGCAGAUCUGGUCAGUGAGUGUUGUCACGUGGUCAGCUCCCAAUUACGCGUGUUUUAUUCAUCUCAGAUUUGUGCACGCCUGCACGGUUGAGUCUUCACGUCGCUCCUCGAACUACCGCGAUUUCCACAUUGGGGGGCAAUCGAAUAAGUCAGACGAGGUUAAAUUUGUCGCUAAUAGAUUAGAAAUAAAAUAAAUUUCUCUGUUUCCAGUUUCUCUCA